CCUUGUACACACCGCCCGUCACACCAUGGGAGUGGGUUUCACCAGAAGUAGGUAGCCUAACCGCAAGGAGGGCGCUUACCACGGUGGGAUUCAUGACUGGGGUG
Molecule: ribosomal RNA, 104 nt
Filed under: uncultured bacterium
Lineage: Bacteria
Description: partial 16S ribosomal RNA
Rfam family: Bacterial small subunit ribosomal RNA
Source: RNAcentral